Long non-coding RNA from Eucalyptus grandis, 2493 nucleotides. RefSeq lists it as uncharacterized. The record is from RefSeq and is a predicted model, not a curated record. The transcript is spliced from 3 exons. NCBI's taxonomy places the organism in Eukaryota, Viridiplantae, Streptophyta, Magnoliopsida, Myrtales, Myrtaceae.
AAGACUCGAAGACAAAUAGUGUAAGACGAAGCUAAAGAGCAUAUCUGGAGCCAUGGUGAUGGCAGGAAGAUGAAGCGGCCAGAUUUGACCGGUGGCCGAAGACGAAGACGAACAGGCGCAUGGAGGAAGACGAACAGAGGAAGACGACCACAAAGACGACUGAGGGAAUGACUCAGUUUGGACGGCCUAAACGAGAGCAAUCACUUCUAGAUCUGGCGACGGACGAGCCUAAAUGCAAGAAACCACGAAGGGGUGGCUCGGCCAUGGAUGGCCAAUGGCUGCGAGCCGCACGCGACUGAGAUGGUGGCCCGGCCAUGGACCAUGGCUCCAGAUGUCGCCUUGUCGAUCAUGUACCAGUGAUGUCACAGGCCAGAUCUAGUUGGCUCCGUCUUCUGGUGGUCCCCGUGACUCCGGCCAGAACUGUAGCGAAGAAGGAGAGGGGAUGAAGAGGAGAAAAAAUUAUAUCUGUUUCUUACAAUUCCAGCUCAGUAUUCACAUGUCAAGUUCUAAUUGGAUAUUGGAAAAACAAAAAUGCACGCCACAUCAGCAGUUUUCAAAAGGACCUCCUUUGUAAGAAGUUUGACCUUGUCUGUUUGAUUUAUCUCCCGAUGUGCAUCAUAAGAAUUGAUUCCAAAUCACCCCCUUUUUUUUUUCUUUUUUUUUUUUUUGUGAAUCUUUUCUUGUUGCACUAAUUUACUUGGUUAUAUGUCACCUGAUUCCAGCAGCUCUAGCUGGGCAUAUGCAACAUCUCACGCUUUCAGUAUAACCACAACAUAUGUGGCCUCAAGCAAAUUCUUUGACUCCUCAAGAUCACCUGACGUCAUGCAUCCAAUAUAUCAGCACAGAAGUUUUUGAAGUAAACAAAUUUCAAUUUAUGUGGAUUUAGACGUCAAUUUAGGCAGUGUUGCCGUCAUAUCACAUUCCGUUUGUCUCUUUAGUUUUGGGUUUCGUGGUUGUAUAAUAGUGCUUUAGCUGUUCUAGUGAGGUUCAUUUUGUCAAAGGUCUAAUGACAAAAGCUUCAGAGUUCUUAGGCUACCUAAGGAAUACACAGUUACAAGCAAGCAAUCAUGUCACCCAAACACAUGACUGCAUGCUUAAUCAUGUUAGAGUCUGUAAAUUCGUUAAAUUCACAAGCCAUUUUGAAGAUGUACUCUGCGAGAAGUUUCUUUGUGAGAAGGAUGAUAUUUUUGCAAGAAUCACUUGAGUCCAUAUGGGCAUAAAAUCCUGUACCGAACAUUCGAGAGCUUGUUAUCAUCUUACUUGUAGAGGCCAAGGAAUUCGAUCUACCAAUGCUAAUUUGGCAACCUAUCCACUACCACUACACAAGAAAGGUAUUGACAAAUAUCUGUUGGAAUUAAUGGGACACCUCGUGUGUGAAAGUAUACGUACAAGGUGAUUGCUCUGUGUUCGACCAUAGGCAGAAGCAAGCAGUUGGGGAGAAUAUCUUAGCUUAUGAUAAUUUUGUCUGGUCCUCAUUAAGGAAAACCAAGGAAAGUAACAUAAAGAAUGUAGAGACAGAGCACCACACAUCUUUUGUUGUUACGGCAAAGAGAAUGACUUGCAUUUUGAAGCGAUCGUUGAUUUCUACUCGAAACUGGAUUUUUCUGCAUCUAUUUCCAUGGUGAAAUUAUGACAUAACGUCUUAGUCUUAACUUCUAUGCUUCCCUAUAUUAUGUCUUGAAGCCAACUGAAUUGCGUGCAUCUGUGCUUUGACAACAUUCAGGCUAAAGCUGGAGCUGGCUUGGCAACACUGUCAAUGGCGAGUCCUUUUAUUCACCCUCGAGAUGUAGUCUUAACUUCUAUGCUUCCCUAUAUUAUGUCUUGAAGCCAACUGAAUUGUGUGCAUCUGUGCUUUGACAACAUUCAGGCUAAAGCUGGAGCUGGCUUGGCAACACUGUCAAUGGCGAGUCCUUUUAUUCACCCUUGAGAUGUAGUCCGAUCUCUUUCAUGAAUGGGAACUUUGAUGGCUCUUUAAUAUGCAGACUCUUUUUACAUGCUUAAAUAAUGUAAAAAUGAAAUGCGAAGGCAUAUGCUGCUGUCACGUCUGCCGAUGCAUGCCUGCGUGGUUUUUAGGGUGAAGCUGGAAUUGUCAGUUGUCCCCAUCUUUCAGUUGACUGAACUUCCGUUCUUCGCAUCUAAAGUGCACCUCGGUCGUGCUGGGCUGAGGAGGCUCUUCCCUUUGGCCCGCUGAAUGAGUAUGAAAGAGCUGGCUUGGAAAAGGCAAAGAAAGAGCUGGUGGCGAGUAUACAGAUGGGCAUUUUAUUUAUCAAAAAGCGGGCGGGUUAGAGAUGUGGCUUUUGGCAAGGAAAAAAAUGUCUUCUUCAUAAUUUCUGCUUAUUUUUCUACUCAGAAUCAGUACGUGGGAACAAGUGGUUCAGACCUAGGAAGAUAUCAAAGUUCAUUUUACAUAGAUGCCUUAGAAAACAGAGAGGUUUUUUUAUUUUUUUUAUUUUUUCUUGCAUGUAAUGUACUCAAAUGGUAAUCUGUGUAUAA